This 170-nucleotide non-coding RNA is filed under the name uncultured Mailhella sp. The record is from RNAcentral. Lineage: Bacteria; Pseudomonadati; Thermodesulfobacteriota; Desulfovibrionia; Desulfovibrionales; Desulfovibrionaceae.
CAGGUGUCCUUUGGACUUGAUAGGGAAUCCCGUGCAAAACGGGAGCGGACCCGCCGCCGUGAGCCUCUUCUUCGCUGAAUGAAAGAGAACGGUUCCCCCUGUGCGCCACUGGAAUUGCAUUCCGGGAAGGCCGGGAACCGCGAGGCAAGCCGGAAGACCUGCCUGGCAAG